Molecule: ribosomal RNA, 237 nt
Filed under: uncultured Actinomycetales bacterium
Lineage: Bacteria; Bacillati; Actinomycetota; Actinomycetes; Actinomycetales
Description: partial 16S ribosomal RNA
Rfam family: Bacterial small subunit ribosomal RNA
Source: RNAcentral
UGGCGAACGGGUGAGUAACACGUGAGUAACCUGCCCUUGACUUUGGGAUAACUUCAGGAAACUGGGGCUAAUACCGGAUAGGAGCUCCUGCUGCAUGGUGGGGGUUGGAAAGUUUCGGCGGUCGGGGAUGGACUCGCGGCUUAUCAGCUUGUUGGUGGGGUAGUGGCUUACCAAGGCUUUGACGGGUAGCCGGCCUGAGAGGGUGACCGGCCACAUUGGGACUGAGAUACGGCCCAG